Molecule: long non-coding RNA, 382 nt
Filed under: Ananas comosus (pineapple)
Lineage: Eukaryota; Viridiplantae; Streptophyta; Magnoliopsida; Poales; Bromeliaceae
Description: long non-coding RNA (ACOM_LNC042173)
Source: RNAcentral
CGAACGUUACGAAUAACAAAUAGGUUAAACAUUAACUAAAUCAAGAAAAGGCCAAAAUCUCACCUUAUAUGGUGAAAAUCUCUCACAAGCUCUGUCACGCCCCGCGACCAACCGCCUAUUUGGACCGGGUCACGGCGCCGCCGACAGACCGCCGAACGGACAGAGUUUCCCCUGUACGUCCUAGGCGUCGCAAUCAAAACAAUCAACAAACGUUCCAACCAGGAGCGGAUAUCAAUCCAGAUUGCAAAGUAUCAAAUACAUAAAACUAACUGCUAUUACAAGCAUUCAUUUCAUACAAUAUUUUUCUUUUACAUUUACUUAACUUCCAAAUGCAAUCACAUUAUUACAUUUAAUACAAGUUGUCAUUCCAUUCUAACCCCUA